RNAcentral lists this ribosomal RNA (500 nucleotides) under uncultured bacterium. Its description in RNAcentral is "partial 16S ribosomal RNA". It matches the Rfam family "Bacterial small subunit ribosomal RNA", at positions 30 to 523 of the family's 1533-position model. The record is from RNAcentral.
AUUGAACGCUGGCGGCAUGCCUUACACAUGCAAGUCGAACGGCAGCACGGGAGCAAUCCUGGUGGCGAGUGGCGAACGGGUGAGUAAUAUAUCGGAACGUGCCCAGUCGUGGGGGAUAACGUAGCGAAAGCUACGCUAAUACCGCAUACGAUCUACGGAUGAAAGCGGGGGAUCGCAAGACCUCGCGCGAUUGGAGCGGCCGAUAUCAGAUUAGCUAGUUGGUGAGGUAAAGGCUCACCAAGGCGACGAUCUGUAGCUGGUCUGAGAGGACGACCAGCCACACUGGAACGGAGACACGGUCCAGACUCCUACGGGAGGCAGCAGUGGGGAAUUUUGGACAAUGGGCGCAAGCCUGAUCCAGCAAUGCCGCGUGCAGGAUGAAGGCCUUCGGGUUGUAAACUGCUUUUGUACAGAACGAAACGGUCCUUUCUAAUACAAAGGGCUAAUGACGGUACUGUAAGAAUAAGCACCGGCUAACUACGUGCCAGCCGCCGCAGUAA